GCAGCCUGUGGUCACCACACAUACGGCAAAAGGGACAGCAGGUGGAAGGGAUUGAGGUGGAGGCACGGAUGCGCUAGAGGUAGGCACAUCAUUUCGAGCUUGAUCAUCCUCUCUAGUUGAUCUUGACCUUGGAACUACUUCAAUCGGUGUGCAAGCUACUUUCUUAGAUCCAUUCAUGCUCAGAAUGAUAAGAAUCAAGG
Molecule: long non-coding RNA, 200 nt
Filed under: Elaeis guineensis (African oil palm)
Lineage: Eukaryota; Viridiplantae; Streptophyta; Magnoliopsida; Arecales; Arecaceae
Description: long non-coding RNA (EGUI_LNC043171)
Source: RNAcentral